Molecule: long non-coding RNA, 277 nt
Organism: Syzygium oleosum
Lineage: Eukaryota; Viridiplantae; Streptophyta; Magnoliopsida; Myrtales; Myrtaceae
Exons: 2
Source: RefSeq, a predicted model, not a curated record
GUAGUCAGAGGACGAUGCAGUAAAAAUAUAAAUAGUUGAAAAUGGUAUGGAAAAAUGCCGAAUAAAACUUGUAAAUCUCAUCCAAGGGCUUAAAUCUAAAAAAUGAUUCUGAUGUACGAAACAAACCACCAUACCAUUCUGAUACACACAAGGUUAAGAGCAGAGUAGAUGCACUGUCAACGUAUGUGAGUAACAAACAAAAGCUCUAUGCAAAUUCUCUACAACCACCAGCAGGCACUGAAUAGAUUACUCAAUAUGAAAAUAAGUCACAAGAACA